Molecule: ribosomal RNA, 907 nt
Filed under: Staphylococcus aureus
Lineage: Bacteria; Bacillati; Bacillota; Bacilli; Caryophanales; Staphylococcaceae
Description: partial 23S ribosomal RNA
Rfam family: Bacterial large subunit ribosomal RNA
Source: RNAcentral
GUAAAUGUGGAGCCGUAGCGAAAGCGAGUCUGAAUAGGGCGUUUAGUAUUUGGUCGUAGACCCGAAACCAGGUGAUCUACCCUUGGUCAGGUUGAAGUUCAGGUAACACUGAAUGGAGGACCGAACCGACUUACGUUGAAAAGUGAGCGGAUGAACUGAGGGUAGCGGAGAAAUUCCAAUCGAACCUGGAGAUAGCUGGUUCUCUCCGAAAUAGCUUUAGGGCUAGCCUCAAGUGAUGAUUAUUGGAGGUAGAGCACUGUUUGGACGAGGGGCCCCUCUCGGGUUACCGAAUUCAGACAAACUCCGAAUGCCAAUUAAUUUAACUUGGGAGUCAGAACAUGGGUGAUAAGGUCCGUGUUCGAAAGGGAAACAGCCCAGACCACCAGCUAAGGUCCCAAAAUAUAUGUUAAGUGGAAAAGGAUGUGGCGUUGCCCAGACAACUAGGAUGUUGGCUUAGAAGCAGCCAUCAUUUAAAGAGUGCGUAAUAGCUCACUAGUCGAGUGACACUGCGCCGAAAAUGUACCGGGGCUAAACAUAUUACCGAAGCUGUGGAUUGUCCUUUGGACAAUGGUAGGAGAGCGUUCUAAGGGCGUUGAAGCAUGAUCGUAAGGACAUGUGGAGCGCUUAGAAGUGAGAAUGCCGGUGUGAGUAGCGAAAGACGGGUGAGAAUCCCGUCCACCGAUUGACUAAGGUUUCCAGAGGAAGGCUCGUCCGCUCUGGGUUAGUCGGGUCCUAAGCUGAGGCCGACAGGCGUAGGCGAUGGAUAACAGGUUGAUAUUCCUGUACCACCUAUAAUCGUUUUAAUCGAUGGGGGGACGCAGUAGGAUAGGCGAAGCGUGCGAUUGGAUUGCACGUCUAAGCAGUAAGGCUGAGUAUUAGGCAAAUCCGGUACUCGUUAAGGCUGAGC